This 441-nucleotide ribosomal RNA is filed under the name gamma proteobacterium SCGC AAA031-K11. RNAcentral's name for it is "bacterial SSU rRNA". It matches the Rfam family "Bacterial small subunit ribosomal RNA", at positions 354 to 787 of the family's 1533-position model. The record is from RNAcentral. Lineage: Bacteria; Pseudomonadati; Pseudomonadota; Gammaproteobacteria.
GUGGGGAAUAUUGGACAAUGGGCGCAAGCCUGAUCCAGCCAUACCGCGUGGGUGAAGAAGGCCUUCGGGUUGUAAAGCCCUUUUGUUGGGAAAGAAAUCCAGCCGGCUAAUACCUGGUUGGGAUGACGGUACCCAAAGAAUAAGCACCGGCUAACUUCGUGCCAGCAGCCGCGGUAAUACGAAGGGUGCAAGCGUUACUCGGAAUUACUGGGCGUAAAGCGUGCGUAGGUGGUUAUUUAAGUCCGUUGUGAAAGCCCUGGGCUCAACCUGGGAACUGCAGUGGAUACUGGAUGACUAGAAUGUGGUAGAGGGUAGCGGAAUUCCUGGUGUAGCAGUGAAAUGCGUAGAGAUCAGGAGGAACAUCCAUGGCGAAGGCAGCUACCUGGACCAACAUUGACACUGAGGCACGAAAGCGUGGGGAGCAAACAGGAUUAGAUACCC